Molecule: ribosomal RNA, 429 nt
Filed under: Gemmatimonadota bacterium
Lineage: Bacteria; Pseudomonadati; Gemmatimonadota
Description: Gemmatimonadetes bacterium partial 16S ribosomal RNA
Rfam family: Bacterial small subunit ribosomal RNA
Source: RNAcentral
UAGGGAAUCUUCGGCAAUGGACGAAAGUCUGACCGAGCAACGCCGCGUGAGUGAAGAAGGUUUUCGGAUCGUAAAACUCUGUUGUUAGAGAAGAACAAGGACGUUAGUAACUGAACGUCCCCUGACGGUAUCUAACCAGAAAGCCACGGCUAACUACGUGCCAGCAGCCGCGGUAAUACGUAGGUGGCAAGCGUUGUCCGGAAUUAUUGGGCGUAAAGCGAGCGCAGGCGGUUUCUUAAGUCUGAUGUGAAAGCCCCCGGCUCAACCGGGGAGGGUCAUUGGAAACUGGGAGACUUGAGUGCAGAAGAGGAGAGUGGAAUUCCAUGUGUAGCGGUGAAAUUCGUAGAUAUAUGGAGGAACACCAGUGGCGAAGGCGGCUCUCUGGUCUGUAACUGACGCUGAGGCUCGAAAGCGUGGGGAGCAAACAGG